This 77-nucleotide transfer RNA is filed under the name Verrucomicrobiota bacterium. Its description in RNAcentral is "Verrucomicrobia bacterium (groundwater metagenome) tRNA-Asp". It matches the Rfam family "tRNA". Rfam says of the family: Transfer RNA (tRNA) molecules are approximately 80 nucleotides in length. Lineage: Bacteria; Pseudomonadati; Verrucomicrobiota. The record is from RNAcentral. RNAcentral also lists the same sequence under 2 other names.
GGGGGCGUAGCUCAGCUGGUUAGAGCGCUUGCCUGUCACGCAAGAGGCCGCGGGUUCGAGUCCCGUCGCUCCCGCCA